AAUUUUGGGCCCAAAAGUUUCCCGGGUUCUGAAAACAAGCGGGCUUUCCUUUUUCUUUUCUUUUUUUCUUUUUGCCGGGCUUCCGACCCCAAUCAACACACAUACAUUAUUAUUACUAAUAUUACGACUUAUAAUAUUAUCACAUACAGUUUUUUCUAAAGAUCGAAGCUCAGCGCGAUCGACUACCACUGAGGCGAGAAAGACGGGAUCCAAGAGAGAUUAAAGCUAUAGAGAAACUCUCGAGCUCCCAGAUUUCAAGCUCCAAAAACCAUUAAAUUGGUCGGACAAUAUUCAAGGCAAGGGUACUAGUGAUAGGUGGAGGAAGAAUAGUAGGUUUUGUUGCAGUUCAACUUGCUGUGGCCGCAGGCUGUCAUGUGUCAACAUGAUGUGGUGUUGAAAGUAUUGAUCUGCUUUUGGCAGCUGGUGCAGAGCAGGCUAUUGAUUAUACUUUUGAGGUGCUAGACAAGUAGACAUGAGUUAUUCAUUAAUGAUUCUAUACUUCUGAGGUGCAUAUAUGAAAUACCAUUUAAAUGUUAUUAUAUGUUAAAACAAAAGCAAGAGUGCUAAUUACUUUGCAUUUAGUUUGUCUGCGCAGAAUGGACAGCGACUCGCCACAGGAAAAACUAUCAUUAUGGUCUUGGUGUUAAAAUUGCAUUUAGUUUUUAAAUAUGAAAGUCUGUGUUUGGUAAAUCACUUACAAGGUGAAUAACGUAAUGUAAGCCUUCGUAGCAGAGUGUGCUAUAAGUAUCUAUACUUGUUGUGAAUAUAGCUCGGAUUAGGUACCUCUACUCAAACUAUAUCAGCUGGCAGCAGUUGCUUUUUGCUUGCUUGUAGCAUGGGUUCGUUUUUCUACUAAAUUUCCUUCUCUUAGUUUCCUGCUGAUUAUACUCUCCUUUAAUCGGAUGCUACUUGAUUUUCUCUUGUUCGCAAUUAUGUUUCAUGAUGGAAUUCUUGCAUGAUCUGAGGAGCAUUUUUACACAUGAAAUUAAGUACCAAGUAAUUUUGUAGGAAUUUAAGUCUUCUGAUCUUACAUGUAUGUGCACAGAAAAGUUAAUCUACUAAAGUUUUGUGGGGGUGAAAUGAAAAUCGUAGAAUCUUUUCUAUAGAAUUAGUGGAAACGCGUGAAGCUUCCUCAAAAGUUGAAAAAUUAAAUGUUGUAGCAGUAUUUGGUUCAAUGGAAUAUAACUGACCAUGUUGUAUUUAGUUCAAUGGUAUUUAACUGACCAUGAUGUACAACUUUCUUGCUUUAAACUUUUAUAUGUAAAGCUCCUUUAGCACCUGUUGCAUAGCAGCACACCAACAUGAUAGUGUAAUAUGUCAAAUUGCAUCUUUAGCAUAUUCGUUCUUUUCAGAUAAAUGUUUAAACUAGUAUAAAUUAUUCGUUCCUGGUGUCAUUUCAGUGUAGUGAUAAGCUGGGUUUAAUUUUUGAGCUAGGUUCAUUCGCUGCUGGAGUGAUGAUAGCAACAACUGAUCUUGCUCAACAUACACUUGAACAAGAUACUUUUAGGAAGAACGUGUUCAGAAGAUCGAGACAGAUAAAAGGGCUGCAGGAAUUUUGAUAUAUGUUGCUCCCCAAUGUUUAAAAUAGAUGAAUUGGAAUCACAUGUUCAUAGGAACCAUGGCGACCUUCUUAUAGUACAGAGACAAUGAAGGAAGAAGAAAAUGAGUGGGAGGAUCCCCAGUGCCAGGAAAGCGGUGGCUUCGGAGUCAACUAUUCAAGCACCACCAAGUCGAUUCCAUAAUGCCUUCUUUUAACUUAAUAAUUUUAAUUACCUACGUCUAACUAGAUUAACUCUUUUGUAUAAAUUAUGCCUUGACUUAAUGGCUAAUUUAUGUAUGCGACUCAAAUUUGGAACGAAUUUGUAAGACUAUAUUGUCACGGUCAUGGUACCGCUUUUGGAUUGUUGGCUACUUGAUGCUAAUUAGAAUUCUGAAUUGACAGUUAAA
Molecule: long non-coding RNA, 1947 nt
Organism: Daucus carota subsp. sativus
Lineage: Eukaryota; Viridiplantae; Streptophyta; Magnoliopsida; Apiales; Apiaceae
Exons: 3
Source: RefSeq, a predicted model, not a curated record